This 205-nucleotide long non-coding RNA is filed under the name Ananas comosus (pineapple). RNAcentral describes it as "long non-coding RNA (ACOM_LNC007480)". The record is from RNAcentral. Lineage: Eukaryota; Viridiplantae; Streptophyta; Magnoliopsida; Poales; Bromeliaceae.
UUUUUUCAACGAAUUAUUCGCGAAUUGCGAAUAAUCCGCGAAUAAUUAUUUUUGGGAAAAAAAAUGUGUUUUUUUUCGAAUUUUUCGAAAAAAUACGUAUUCGACCGUUUAAUUCGUUUUUUCAAAAAUUCGUUAUUCGCAAAUUUACUAACAGAGUUUAGAAGAGGUGUUAAUUAAUAUUUUUAAUUUUGAAGGGUUCAGAUAA